Long non-coding RNA from Oryctolagus cuniculus (rabbit), 451 nucleotides. RefSeq lists it as uncharacterized. NCBI's taxonomy places the organism in Eukaryota, Metazoa, Chordata, Mammalia, Lagomorpha, Leporidae. The record is from RefSeq and is a predicted model, not a curated record.
GCUUCUGUUGCCUGCACAAGUCUUCAGUGCAGCUGGUGACUUUCUGGUGCGCUAGAAGAAUGAAUGAUAAGUCAAGUAUCUGCUAAGCAAGGGAGAAAGGAAAGGGGGCCUUAAAAUUCACAUCGAGCGGCUGGCACUGUGGCGUAGCCAGUGAAGCUGUCGCCUGCAGUACCAGCUCCCAUAUGGGCACUGAUUCAAGUCCUGUCAGCUCCACUUGUGAUCCAGCUCUCUGUUAUGGCCUGGGAAAGAGUAGAGGAUGGCCAAAAGUCCUUGGGCUCCUGCACUUGCAUGGGAGACCUGGAAGAAACUCCUGGCUUCGGAUCAGCGCAGCUCCAGCCAUUGUGGCCAAUUGGGGAGUGAACCAACGGAUAGAAAAUCUUUCUCUCUGUCUCUCCUCCUCACUGUCUGUAACUCUAACUUUCAAACAAAUAAAUAAAAUAUUAAAAAAUUA